Molecule: ribosomal RNA, 369 nt
Filed under: Triticum aestivum (bread wheat)
Lineage: Eukaryota; Viridiplantae; Streptophyta; Magnoliopsida; Poales; Poaceae
Description: partial small subunit ribosomal RNA
Source: RNAcentral
AUGAAAGGUAAUGCUAAUGGCCUAAAAAAACUUAUUAUGGAUGAGUCUCCUUCUGCCUAUUAUGUUCAUUGUUUUGCCCAUCAACUACAAUUAACUCUUGUUGCUGUUGCCAAAGAGAGUGGUGAUUGUACUUGGUUCUUUCAACAACUUGCACACUUGUUAAAUGCUCUUGGCAUGUCUUGUAAAAAGAUGAGAAUGCUUCGUAUAGCUCAGGCUGAGGAACUCAUUGAUGCAUUGGAAUUGGAAGAAGUAGAGACGGAGAGUGGGCUGAAUCAGGAAAUGGGUUUGGGAAGGCCAUGUGAUACACGUUGGGGCUCUCACUUUAAAACCGUGAACCAUGUCAUCUGUAUGUAUGGUGCAAUACGAUGA